RNAcentral lists this long non-coding RNA (1306 nucleotides) under Oryctolagus cuniculus (rabbit). RNAcentral's name for it is "lncRNA (ENSOCUG00000033033.1)". The record is from RNAcentral. Lineage: Eukaryota; Metazoa; Chordata; Mammalia; Lagomorpha; Leporidae.
AUGCAUAAACUUUGGGUGCCUCUCUCCCUCUUCCCAGCCUCUUCUCCCAUCCUCUCUUCCUGCUCUCUUUGCUCUGCUCAUCACUUUCCCCUGGUUUUUUUUUUUUUUUCCUCCCUUCCUCCCCCCUCGCCUCCCUCCCCCCACCUUGCUCUGCAGCGGGAGCCUGCGGCUGCUCGGAGAGGGGGGGACGCGCUGCCGAGCCGCCAGGUCUGGGUUCAAAGGCUGAGGGUCGCGUGUCUUCGCCUCAUUGCAGGGUUUGCCCGCUGGGGAAGACGCUCCCAGCAUCAGAUCGUCAAAUCUGGUUAAACACUCGACAUGCACUCGCCCUGGUAUUUCCCUGGCACUCGGUGAUUCAUCUCGGCUUCCUUUCUUUGUAGCACCCCCCCCCCCCCAAACGCCCCUGCCACACCUUGUCUGUGUCUUUAAUGCAUCCUGAUUGUCCACUUCCCUGGACCCCUCCCCCCACAGAAACCCUUGUAGGGACGACUUUGAGACUUUGAUUCAGUUGCAAAUCUGAACCUGGCAUUAGCGGACUUCAUGCUGUGAAAAAAAGAAAAUGUUGCAAGGCCUUAACCCUGAGGCCUGCCCGCCACCUUCCACCCUGGUGCGGUCUGCUUCCCCCUCUGCGCCCUGCUUCCCUGGGGAGGUGAAGGCCAUUGGGUGUGACUAGGAAUGCCUGCGCUGUGGGGUGCCUCUCGCUGCCAUGUGCUCCCCCUCCAAGACAAAACCGGAGGCUAGGGGAAGGGAAGAGGAAAAACUGACUGCAGGCCCCAAAGGCUUUUCCCAUAAUAGGAUGAUGGGUUUUAGGUGAAAAAAAAAAUAUGACUGUUUUGUUCUUUUAGGUUUAGAAAUAACAGGGAGAGAGGGAAAAGCAGUCAUUAGGAAGUUCCCCGAGCUGCCUUCCAACUGAGGCGGGUGAAAAAUGAAGCAGCAUUGACACUUGGCUCCGUGCGAGAGCUCCUGUAACCUCUCCCCCUGGCGUGGCCCUGGCCUUUUGUUCCUGGAGAACGGAGCUAAGGUGCUUUUUCUCCCAGACCACAGGCAGCAGGCGAGGAGUCCCCCUGUGUGCCUUGCCUUUGGAUGGCUUCUCAUGGUUAUUGUCAAUGCAGAUUCCCCAAACAAUCGCUCCAGCGAGACACCAAAGCAAAAACAUUUGUCCUAUUUUUUUAACCUCUUUGUUUUAGGUUUUUUCUUUCUUUUUUAUCCAUCCUUUAAUUCUCACAGUUCCUAUUUGUCUGCAGAGACACAAACGGAACAGCGUGAAGCACAUUUUACCGUAGGCCUCACUGCCGACUGGAGCCGCCUC